UUGAACUCAUUUAAAAGUUAUUCUCUUUGAGAAGUCCUUAGGGCUCAUUGGUAGUGACCUUAAGUGUGUCGGAUUUUCUGAUGCACGUGGUUGGCGGGUGAUUGCGUACAUCUGUAGGGAAUGGUCUCACCUUAAAGGGAUAAAAAAAAUCCCAAAACCUGUCAUGAGUUUGGGCAAAUGGCUUUGGUCUUGGGUUUGUUCCCCACAGACAUGAGUUCGUUUUCCCUCUCCGUGGGUUACCAGUCACGAGUUUGGGAGAAUGACUUUGGUCGUGGGUUUGCUCCCCACAGACACAAGUUCGAUUCCCUUUCCCGUGGAUUACCCGUCAUGAGUUUGGGCGAACGGCUUUGGUCGUGGGUUUGCUCCCCACAGACAGGAGUUCAUUUCCCCUCGUGGAUUACAUGAUGCACGUGGUGUAAUAGGGGAUU
This is a long non-coding RNA of Magnolia sinica, 428 nucleotides long. RefSeq lists it as uncharacterized. The record is from RefSeq and is a predicted model, not a curated record. The transcript has 2 exons. Lineage: Eukaryota; Viridiplantae; Streptophyta; Magnoliopsida; Magnoliales; Magnoliaceae.